GCCUUUGCCGCCCGGUCCGCCUAUUUGGUGUGUACUGGAGCGGUGGAGGCCUACCUCGUGGUGAACGGUCAUGCUCUUUACUGGGUGUGGCCGGGAACCAUGACUUUUACCUUGAAAAAAUUAGAGUGUUUAAAGCAGGCCUACGCUUGAAUACAUUAGCAUGGAAUAAUAGAAUAGGAC
Molecule: ribosomal RNA, 180 nt
Filed under: uncultured Glomeromycotina
Lineage: Eukaryota; Fungi; Glomeromycota
Description: partial small subunit ribosomal RNA
Rfam family: Eukaryotic small subunit ribosomal RNA (bases 93-180)
Source: RNAcentral